Melitaea cinxia (Glanville fritillary) is the source of this 121-nucleotide long non-coding RNA. RefSeq lists it as uncharacterized. The transcript has 2 exons. NCBI's taxonomy places the organism in Eukaryota, Metazoa, Arthropoda, Insecta, Lepidoptera, Nymphalidae. The record is from RefSeq and is a predicted model, not a curated record.
GGAGAGUUUGGGGUAGGGCUGGCAACGCGAUUGCGAUGCUUCUGGUGUUGCAAGCAUCUAUAAGCUACAGUGAUUGCUUAACAUCAGGUGAGCCGUACUCUUGUUUGGCGACCUAGUUGUA